This 868-nucleotide ribosomal RNA is filed under the name uncultured archaeon. Its description in RNAcentral is "bacterial SSU rRNA". It matches the Rfam family "Archaeal small subunit ribosomal RNA", at positions 1 to 878 of the family's 1478-position model. The record is from RNAcentral.
CUCCGGUUGAUCCUGCCGGACCCGACUGCUAUCAGAGUGGGACUAAGCCAUGCGAGUCAACAUAGCAAUAUGUGGCAUACGGCUCAGUAACACGUAGUCAACAUGCCCAGGGGACGUGGAUAACCUCGGGAAACUGAGGAUAAACCGCGAUAGGUCAUCACUUCUGGAAUGGGUAAUGACUUAAAUCUAUAUGGCCCCUGGAUUGGACUGCGGCCGAUCAGGCUGUUGGUGAGGUAAUGGCCCACCAAACCUGUAACCGGUACGGGCUCUGAGAGGAGAAGCCCGGAGAUGGGCACUGAGACAAGGGCCCAGGCCCUAUGGGGCGCAGCAGGCGCGAAACCUCUGCAAUAGGCGAAAGCCUGACAGGGUUACUCUGAGUGAUUUCCGCUAAGGGGAUCUUUUGGCACCUCUAAAAAUGGUGCAGAAUAAGGGGUGGGCAAGUCUGGUGUCAGCCGCCGCGGUAAUACCAGCACCCCGAGUGGUCGGGACGAUUAUUGGGCCUAAAGCAUCCGUAGCCGGUUCUGCAAGUCUUCCGUUAAAUCCAGCCGCUCAACGGAUGGGCCGCGGAGGAUACUACAGGACUAGGAGGCGGGAGAGGCAAGCGGUACUCAGUGGGUAGGGGUAAAAUCCUUUGAUCCAUUGAAGACCACCAGUGGCGAAGGCGGCUUGCCAGAACGCGCUCGACGGUGAGGGAUGAAAGCUGGGGGAGCAAACCGGAUUAGAUACCCGGGUAGUCCCAGCUGUAAACGAUGCAGACUCGGUGAUGGGCUAGCCUUGUGCCAGCCCAGUGCCGCAGGGAAGCCGUUAAGUCUGCCGCCUGGGGAGUACGGUCGCAAGACUGAAACUUAAAGGAAUUGGCGGGGGAGCA